This 89-nucleotide transfer RNA is filed under the name Alphaproteobacteria bacterium. RNAcentral's name for it is "tRNA-Leu". It matches the Rfam family "tRNA". From Rfam's summary of the family: Transfer RNA (tRNA) molecules are approximately 80 nucleotides in length. Their secondary structure includes four short double-helical elements and three loops (D, anti-codon, and T loops). The record is from RNAcentral. RNAcentral also lists the same sequence under 1 other name. Lineage: Bacteria; Pseudomonadati; Pseudomonadota; Alphaproteobacteria.
GCGGGCGUGGCGAAAUCGGUAGACGCAACGGACUUAAAAUCCGUCGGAUAGCAAUAUCCUUGGGGGUUCAAGUCCCCCCGCCCGCACCA